CCUACGGGCGACAGCAGUGGGGAAUAUUGCACAAUGGGGGAAACCCUGAUGCAGCGACGCCGCGUGAGUGAGGAAGUAUUUCGGUAUGUAAAGCUCUAUCAGCAGGGAAGAAAAUGACGGUACCUGACUAAGAAGCCCCGGCUAACGACGGGCCAGCAGCCGCGGUAAUACGUAGGGGGCAAGCGUUAUCCGGAUUUACUGGGUGUAAAGGGAGCGUAGACGGCUAAUCAAGUCAGAAGUGAAAACCCAGGGCUCCACUUUGGGACUGCUUUUGAAACUGAGUAGCUAGAGUGCAGGAGAGGUAAGCGGAAUUCCUAGUGUAGCGGUGAAAUGCGUCGAUAUUAGGCGGAACCCCAGUGGCGAAGGCGGCUUACUGGACUGUACCUGACGUUGCGGCUCGAAAGCGUGGGGAGCAAACAGGAUUAGAUACCCCGGUAGUC
RNAcentral lists this ribosomal RNA (440 nucleotides) under uncultured bacterium. Its description in RNAcentral is "partial 16S ribosomal RNA". It matches the Rfam family "Bacterial small subunit ribosomal RNA", at positions 338 to 795 of the family's 1533-position model. The record is from RNAcentral.